UGUUUUGAUUUAGUAUUAAGCAACUUAAGCACUGUGAAAGGAACAGGCUUAUCCACAUUUAAGAUAUCCUUGAUAAUAUCCUGACAAUUAUGUUCUCUAGCAUUGAUUUAAUUAAUAGUUUGGUUCAGCUUGUCGAUAGUAUGGGUGAGCUUGUUUAGAACAUCUUAAUGAGAACUAUUAGCCUCAAAUGACCUAGAUUCCUCUUCAGCUUCCAUUCUAUUUCUUUUUCUAGUUAUUAGAGGAACUUCUAAAUUCAUGGGUUGCAAGGCAAAGUCACCUAGAGAUUCUAUUUCUUUUUCUAGUUGCUAGAGGAACUUCUAAAUUCAUGGGUUGCAAGGCAAAGUCACCUAGAGAUGGAGAUUGAGGCUGGUGAAGUGGAGUGACAAAGAGAAGAUAUAGUACUAACACAACAAGUGCAAGUGCGACUAGUGGCUCCAUCAGCGGCACAUGAACAUCCAUGGGUCAUUGCUCUUGCUCCAAAGUUUCGGUUAAAAUAAUCACCACAAUCUGUUGCUCCAUUCGGACCACAUCUCCCUGCUAUUGUUACGCUGUACUUGCAAAAUUGUUGCCCUGCAAAAAAUAAACCAAAUAAGUAUGUAAUACUUUUGAGAAUUAUGGGAUUUCUAA
Long non-coding RNA from Ziziphus jujuba (common jujube), 627 nucleotides. RefSeq lists it as uncharacterized. Lineage: Eukaryota; Viridiplantae; Streptophyta; Magnoliopsida; Rosales; Rhamnaceae. The transcript has 2 exons. The record is from RefSeq and is a predicted model, not a curated record.